CAAUAUCAUAUCGUCAAGGAAGCGUUAGCACAAGCUCAUGCUUUUAUGGAUUCGUUAACCCAAAUCUUGCUUAAUUAUAUAGUAGCUUUGUUUUUGUUUUUUUUCUUGGUUAUUUUCUUGUAGGUUUCUUUUUGUAAAAUCUUAAUUUUAAUUUUAAUGAUAUUUACAUUAUAAGUAAGAAAAAAAAGAUAAAUGAUGAUGUGGCGGAUGAC
This 212-nucleotide long non-coding RNA is filed under the name Capsella rubella. RNAcentral describes it as "long non-coding RNA (CRUB_LNC001564)". The record is from RNAcentral. Lineage: Eukaryota; Viridiplantae; Streptophyta; Magnoliopsida; Brassicales; Brassicaceae.